UACGUAGGGGGCUAGCGUUGUUCGGAAUUACUGGGCGUAAAGCGCACGUAGGCGGCUUUGUAAGUUAGAGGUGAAAGCCCGGGGCUCAACUCCGGAAUUGCCUUUAAGACUGCAUCGCUAGAAUUGUGGAGAGGUAAGUGGAAUUCCGAGUGUAGAGGUGAAAUUCGUAGAUAUUCGGAAGAACACCAGUGGCGAAGGCGGCUCACUGGACUGGUAUUGACGCUGAGGUGCGAAAGCGUGGGGAGCAAACAGG
RNAcentral lists this ribosomal RNA (253 nucleotides) under uncultured bacterium. RNAcentral's name for it is "partial 16S ribosomal RNA". It matches the Rfam family "Bacterial small subunit ribosomal RNA", at positions 524 to 776 of the family's 1533-position model. The record is from RNAcentral.